CCUACGGGGGGCAGCAGUGGGGAAUAUUGGGCAAUGGGCGCAAGCCUGGCCCAGCAACGCCGCGUGAAGGAAGAAGGCUUUCGGGUUGUAAACUUCUUUUCUGAGGGACGAAGAAAGUGACGGUACCUCAGGAAUAAGCUACGGCUAACUACGUGCCAGCAGCCGCGGUAAUACGUAGGUGGCAAGCGUUAACCGGAUUUACUGGGUGUAAAGGGCGUGUAGGCGGGAAAGCAAGUCAGAUGUGAAAACUCAGGGCUCAACCCUGGGCCUGCAUUUGAAACUGUUUUUCUUGAGUGCUGGAGAGGCAAUCGGAAUUCCGUGUGUAGCGGUGAAAUGCGUAGAUAUACGGAGGAACACCAGUGGCGAAGGCAGAUUGCUGGACAGUAACUGACGCUGAGGCGCGAAAGCGUGGGGAGCAAACAGGAUUAGAUACCCGAGUAGUC
Molecule: ribosomal RNA, 443 nt
Filed under: uncultured bacterium
Lineage: Bacteria
Description: partial 16S ribosomal RNA
Rfam family: Bacterial small subunit ribosomal RNA
Source: RNAcentral